This 482-nucleotide ribosomal RNA is filed under the name uncultured bacterium. Its description in RNAcentral is "partial 16S ribosomal RNA". It matches the Rfam family "Bacterial small subunit ribosomal RNA", at positions 30 to 507 of the family's 1533-position model. The record is from RNAcentral.
AUUGAACGCUGGCGGCAUGCCUUACACAUGCAAGUCGAACGGUAACAGGUCUUCGGAUGCUGACGAGUGGCGAACGGGUGAGUAAUACAUCGGAACGUGCCCGAUCGUGGGGGAUAACGAGGCGAAAGCUUUGCUAAUACCGCAUACGAUCUACGGAUGAAAGCGGGGGAUCUUCGGACCUCGCGCGGACGGAGCGGCCGAUGGCAGAUUAGGUAGUUGGUGGGAUAAAAGCUUACCAAGCCGACGAUCUGUAGCUGGUCAGAGAGGAUGAUCAGCCACACUGGGACUGAGACACGGCCCAGACUCCUACGGGAGGCAGCAGUGGGGAAUUUUGGACAAUGGGCGAAAGCCUGAUCCAGCCAUGCCGCGUGCAGGAUGAAGGCCUUCGGGUUGUAAACUGCUUUUGUACGGAACGAAAAGCCUCUUUCUAAUAAAGAGGGGUCAUGACGGUACCGUAAGAAUAAGCACCGGCUAACUACGUG